GGGGUGAAGUCGUAACAAGGUAACCGUAGGGGAACCUGCGGUUGGAUCACCUCCUUACCAUAAAGA
This 66-nucleotide ribosomal RNA is filed under the name Klebsiella quasipneumoniae. RNAcentral describes it as "partial 16S ribosomal RNA". The stretch from base 1 to 57 matches the Rfam family "Bacterial small subunit ribosomal RNA", at positions 1477 to 1533 of the family's 1533-position model. Lineage: Bacteria; Pseudomonadati; Pseudomonadota; Gammaproteobacteria; Enterobacterales; Enterobacteriaceae. The record is from RNAcentral.